This 483-nucleotide ribosomal RNA is filed under the name uncultured bacterium. Its description in RNAcentral is "partial 16S ribosomal RNA". It matches the Rfam family "Bacterial small subunit ribosomal RNA", at positions 30 to 507 of the family's 1533-position model. The record is from RNAcentral.
AUUGAACGCUGGCGGCAGGCCUAACACAUGCAAGUCGAGCGGAUGAAGGGAGCUUGCUCCUGGAUUCAGCGGCGGACGGGUGAGUAAUGCCUAGGAAUCUGCCUGGUAGUGGGGGAUAACGUCCGGAAACGGGCGCUAAUACCGCAUACGUCCUGAGGGAGAAAGUGGGGGAUCUUCGACCUCACGCUAUCAGAUGAGCCUAGGUCGGAUUAGCUAGUUGGUGGGGUAAAGGCCUACCAAGGCGACGAUCCGUAACUGGUCUGAGAGGAUGAUCAGUCACACUGGAACUGAGACACGGUCCAGACUCCUACGGGAGGCAGCAGUGGGGAAUAUUGGACAAUGGGCGAAAGCCUGAUCCAGCCAUGCCGCGUGUGUGAAGAAGGUCUUCGGAUUGUAAAGCACUUUAAGUUGGGAGGAAGGGCAGUAAGUUAACACCUUGCUGUUUUGACGUUACCAACAGAAUAAGCACCGGCUAACUUCGUG